RNAcentral lists this ribosomal RNA (1026 nucleotides) under Spirotextularia sp. Its description in RNAcentral is "SSU rRNA". It matches the Rfam family "Eukaryotic small subunit ribosomal RNA", at positions 1160 to 1801 of the family's 1831-position model. Lineage: Eukaryota; Foraminifera; Lituolida; Spiroplectamminidae. The record is from RNAcentral.
AAGGGCACCACAAGAACGCGUGGAGCAUGUGGCUUAAUUUGACUCAACGCGGGAAAUCUUACCGGGUCCGGACACACUGAGGAUUGACAGGUAUUAUUAAAUAACUACAUAUUUUAUAUGUUAGUUAUUUAUGUUAAAUAUGCUAGUCCUUUCAUGAUUAUGUGAUAGGUGGUGCAUGGCCGUUCUUAGUUCGUGGAGUGAUCUGUCUGCUUAAUUGCGUUUCACUAAGGGCUUAUAAAUUACGUGUGUUGCAGGUACUUUGACCCCUUGAGAUUGAAAUAUUAUUUCAAGUGCGUGUCUUAGUUUGCUUUUGCUCGCACAAUUAAGUCCUGAAAGCAACGAACGUGACCGCAACCUCUUGUUGCCUUUAUCCCAAAAAUCACGUCUCGUAAAUUUUAUUUACGUGCGUGGUAAAAAAAGGCCUUUAAACUAGAGGGACCGCUGUAAUCUUUUUAAACCAGAGGAAGGUUGCGGCAAUAACAGGUCUGUGAUGCCCUUAGAUGUUCCGGGCUGCACACGUGCUACAAUGAUUAUUGCAGUGAGCAUCUCAUAUUUAUACACCGCAUGCGCGUGUCCAUAUAAACUUGCUCGCUUAUGCUUGUCAUGUUUUAUAUGUGUUACAUUGUGCGCGGUAAAGCCUACUUCGAAAGUAAGUGGGUAAUCAAUUAGAAGUAAUGAUUUCCUUUUUAUAGCACACAUAUAUGCGGCAUCUUUACCCGGGUUAAGCUUGUCUUAACUUUUGUGUGUAUCGAUGUUUUUUCCGCAUGUGCAAUUGUCAAUUCAUGGUGGGGACAGACCAUUGUUAAUUGUUGGUCUCGGUCUUAACUAGGAAUGCCUUGUACGGGUCUUUGGUUCAACAAACCACCCGGAAUACGUCCCUGCCCUUUGUACACACCGCCCGUCGCUCUUACCGAUGGACUUCUCUGUGAGUUUGAGGGACUGGGUACUGUAAAAUUUAUUUUACUAUCACCUAUGGAAACUUAAACGAACAGUGUGGUCUAAAGGAAAGAGAAGUCGAACAAGGCA